AUACUUACCUGGCAAGGGAGAUACCAUGAUCACGAAGGUGGUUUUCCUAGAGUGAGGCUUAUCCAUUGCACUCCAGAUGUGCUGACCCUUGCAAUUUCCCCAAAUGUGGGAAACUCGACUGCAUAAUUUGUGGUAGUGGGGGACUACAUUUGCGCUUUCCCCUA
Molecule: small nuclear RNA, 164 nt
Organism: Bubalus bubalis (water buffalo)
Lineage: Eukaryota; Metazoa; Chordata; Mammalia; Artiodactyla; Bovidae
Product: U1 spliceosomal RNA
Exons: 1
Source: RefSeq, a predicted model, not a curated record